UAUCACUAUUUGUUGACACAUUUGUUUUCC
RNAcentral lists this non-coding RNA (30 nucleotides) under Rattus norvegicus (Norway rat). The record is from RNAcentral. Lineage: Eukaryota; Metazoa; Chordata; Mammalia; Rodentia; Muridae.